GGCCUCCUGCGCGAAGCGCGCCAGCGCGCGGGCCGCCGCCUCGGCCUCCUCUCGCUGCCGGGCCUCGUCGUCUAGGCGCUGGCGCACGUGCGCGAUGUCCUCGAGCAGGUGCUCCUGCUCCAGGCGUAGCUGACCGCGCGCCGCGCCCAGGCGCAGCACCGCGCCGCGCAUCUCGCGGACCUCGCGCUCGUACAGCUCGCCCAUAGCGGAGCGGCCCGCCUGCUGCUGCCGCAGCGCCGCAGCCUCGCCCUCCAGGCUGCGGUUGUGCGCCUCCAGCUGCCGCACCUUGUCGAUGUACCCGGCGAAGCGGUCGUUCAGCGCCUGCAGCUGCUCCUUCUCACUGCGUGAGGUGGCCACCGCCACCAUGCAGCCCUCCGGCCCGUUGCUCAGCGUGUCCAGCGAGUCGGUGCUUGAGGCGGCGCCUGCGCCACGGAAGCGGCUGGGCGAGGCGGACACGGAGCUCACGGACGUCCGUGUCCACGAGUGGAAGCCGCUGGAGGAGCCAGCGGCGGAGCGCGUCCCGCCUGCGCCACCCUUUCGGGCUAGCGCGUAGUGGAGGCUGCCGCCGCCAUGCAGCGGCGCGAACGGGGCGCCCAGCAGCGCGUCCGCGCCGCCGAAGCUCAUCAUGGCCUGAGCAGGUGCGCGAGGCCGGGACGGGGCGGGAGGCACUGCGGCAGCACCAGGGCGCCGGCCCUUUUAUAGCCGCCGCGGCCGGGUCCAACCCCUUGGCAGUGAGAGGGUGGGGAGGAGGGCCCCGCCCUCUCCGCCUCCUCCCCUGCGGCCCCCCGGCCGACCGGCUCCGCCGCAGUGAGAGGGGCGGGGCAGGGGACCGAGGAGGGAAGGGGAAUCGACGCUGCGUCAGAGGAGACCCUCGAGGUCGGGGAAGCGGGCAGAGGACUCCCGGAGUGGGCCAGUGAGGACCCCCGGGUGCGCGUCGGAAGAGCCUGCGAGUGUGUUCGGAAUAAGAAAGGGGACUUGAAACAGGGAGAGGACAAGGAGAAACCUGAUGGGAAUAGGGGCAGGAUGCCCUCGGGAUGGAGCAAUGGAAGAUUGCAGUCAUUAGGAUGAGGGGAUCCCUGUAUGAGACAGGACACGAGGCUUUCCAAAUAGUUAAGAGAGGCUUUCAGGAUAGGGGGUGCAGAGACUGUGCAGCCAGCCCCGGAACAGAGGAGGGAGCAAGGCAGUCCUGAAUGGGAGCAUGGACGCUCCAUAGAACGGAGACAGGAGACCCCUGACCGGGGGAGGUACAGUGUUCUCCUAACAUCUAGAGGACCCACUUGGAGAGCGCUCAGGAAACUCCGCGGCCAGCCCCGGAAUAGAUGAAGGGGGACCUGGAGUUGGGGAGAAUAGCAAGGCUACCCUGAAUGGGGGUAUGGGAGACACUGCAGAGGAUGGAGAGAGGGAACCCCGGAUGGGUGGGGUUGGGGGGAGGCAAGGCGUUCUCUAAAAAGUCUGCAGUGGCCCCCGAGAGAGGAGAUGGGAGACCCUGCUGCCAGCCCCAGUAAAGGGGACGGACCCUCAGCGAAGCGGGCAGAAGGUCCCCUGAACAGGCAGGAGAAAGCUGGGCUGAGUUUGAGGGGCAGAGAACCUACAGUGGGGGUACCGUAGGAGGGCUUGGGCAUGAAGUUGAGAGAGCUGGCCCCUGUGUGGGGUGGGGGGAAAUGAUGGGUGUCACCCGAGCCAGCUUCUGCACACUGGGGUCAGCUAGGCAGUUUGCUGGUCGAAUGACCUUGGACAAGCUGUGUCCUCCCACCCUUGUUUUUCCAUCUGUACAACGAAGGGGUCUUGCCCCAGAGACAAGCUCCAACUCCUGACCCCCGACUGCCCCAGGAAGUUCCACUUUGAGGGGUCUCUGGCUGAACUGGGGAUGGGGAACCCACAUCUUGCCGUUCUGUCAACACUAGGAAGUCCUCUUUUCUCCCUCCCCCUCCCCAUCUUCUCAGCCUCAACUUGUCCUCUCUUCCCCCACUCCUGUAACAGACAAGCAGGCGCCUGAGUCGGCAUCCCUUCUCUCUUACAGGGAAGUGAUGAGAUGCUUUCUGAGUACCAAAGUCCCUCACCCCAAUAGGAUGUCAGGUAGAAGAAGGGGUCCCCAGGAUUUAGGGGGCCCUGCAACGGCUGUGACAUUUGGCUCUUUAUUGGUUUUGGCUCAUGUUUUAUGCUGUGGGAGUGGGGGUGGUGCUGCGGCUGGCGCUUCAGCACCGGGGACAGGGCCUGCUCUUUGUUGGGCGUGGGGCGGGGAAAGAGAUUAACCCUCUGCUUUUACUUUAGGGGAAGGAAGGGAGGGACACUGUGCUGAGGGGACCCGAGAGGGGAGGCAAGUGAUCCAGCAGGGUCACAUAGUGAGCCAGGGACCCCUCCCUGGACUUCCUGUCGGGGGUCCAGUUCCGUGUUUUCUGGGCUGUUCCCCUCCUGCUUAGGGACCCCUGCGAAAGGACCCCUGGGGAUGCUGGGAGCCCUGAGACGCCCUUGAGAGUUUGUAGACUCGUACUUCCACUCUGAACCUCCCCCAGGCAGUUAUCUCAACACCCACUACACCCCUACUUUACGCGGGUUUUCCUGCUCCAGGAUCCCCAGGACAGAACAGACAUAUCCCCCAGGAAAGACCUCUGCCAGUUCCUUUCUCUUUGCCCUCUGUCUCCUUCCAGCCCCCUAGUUCUAAGCAGACCCUCAGAGCUGGGAAAUUGAUGGCGCUGUCCCUUUAACCACUUUUUACUGGAAGGAGAGUGCGCUGGGAGGAGGGAAGAGGGGGAGGGAGUUUCUGGUUUUGCAUGAAGCAGCAGAACAUGAUGAAGCAUUUUUCCCCCAUCUAAAGAUCCAGUCGUGCUCCAGUUUGCAGAGGGCAAGGGGCUGGUUGCAGGUGGUGCUGGGAGGAUGGAGUAGAGAUGGGGUUUCACCGUGUUAACCAGGAAUGUCUCGAUCUCCUGACCUCGUGAUCCACCCGCCUCAGCCUCCCAAAGUGUUGGGAUUACAGGCGUGAGCUACCACGCCCGGCCCUAGGCUCCACAACUCUAAGAAGCUUUGGCAUAUACCCAUCUGCUGUGUGGCUGGACCAUGUGGGUAAACUCUCCGGAGGCCUGCGUGAGCUAAGGGGGAUGCUCCAUCCCAUGCGCAGUGGAGCCUGCCUCCAUGGGCCCUGCUGGCCUUCAUGGCACCACCUCUCCCAUAGACAUCAGAGCUCCGAUGCCAGCGCUUCCCCCCACAGACCCACUCGGUGGUGCCCAGCCAGGCUACCCUGCACAGCAUCCCACUCAUCUAUGCCAGAGUGAUGGCUGCUCAGCUAGCCACGAGAGGGUAGCACACCCUCUGCCCAUCCUGCAACAUGUCUGAAGCCCACUUAGACCCCUUCAUCCCAUGGACACUACAUUAAGCACAUGCACAAGCACCUGGGCUUCAGUGGGGGCUUAUUUGGCCUCCCCAGGAUGGACUGGAGCAUCAGUAGUGCCCGGGUUUAUCACAGGACAGAUACUCAAGAC
This 3476-nucleotide long non-coding RNA is filed under the name Homo sapiens (human). RNAcentral describes it as "non-protein coding RFPL1S:22". Lineage: Eukaryota; Metazoa; Chordata; Mammalia; Primates; Hominidae. The record is from RNAcentral.